AGGUCCGUAGCUCAACAGGUAGAGCAUCGGAUUCCAAAUCCGAAGGUUGCAGGUUCGAGUCCUGCCGGACCUACCC
Molecule: transfer RNA, 76 nt
Filed under: Candidatus Calescibacteriota bacterium
Lineage: Bacteria; Candidatus Calescibacteriota
Description: Candidatus Calescamantes bacterium (hot springs metagenome) tRNA-Trp
Rfam family: tRNA
About the family: Transfer RNA (tRNA) molecules are approximately 80 nucleotides in length. Their secondary structure includes four short double-helical elements and three loops (D, anti-codon, and T loops).
Source: RNAcentral